This 433-nucleotide ribosomal RNA is filed under the name uncultured bacterium. RNAcentral's name for it is "partial 16S ribosomal RNA". It matches the Rfam family "Bacterial small subunit ribosomal RNA", at positions 29 to 507 of the family's 1533-position model. The record is from RNAcentral.
AACGAACGCUGGCGGCAUGCCUAACACAUGCAAGUCGAGCGAGACCUUCGGGUCUAUUGUCGCACGGGUUCGUAACGCGUGGGAAUCUGCCCUUGGGUUCGGAAUAACAGUUGGAAACGACUACUAAUACCGAAUGAGGACGUAAGUCCAAAGAUUUAUCGCCCAAGGAUGUGCCCGCGUAGGAUUAGAUAGUUGGUGAGGUAAAGGCUCACCAAGGCGACGAUCCUUAGCUUGUCUGAGAGGAUGAUCAGCCACACUGGGACUGAGAAACGGCCCAGACUCCUACGGGAGGCAGCAGUGGGGAAUGUUGGAACAUGGGCGAAAGCCUGAUCGAGCAAUGCCGCGUGAGUGAUGAAGGUAUUAGGGUUGUAAAGCGCUUUUAACUGGGAUGAUAAUGACAGUACCGGGAGAAAAAGCCCCGGCUAACUCCGUG